Molecule: ribosomal RNA, 468 nt
Filed under: uncultured bacterium
Lineage: Bacteria
Description: partial 16S ribosomal RNA
Rfam family: Bacterial small subunit ribosomal RNA
Source: RNAcentral
GACGAACGCUGGCGGCGUGCUUAACACAUGCCAGUCGAACGGAAAGGCCCUGCUUUUGUGGGGUGCUCGAGUGGCGAACGGGUGAGUAACACGUGAGUAACCUGCCCUUGACUUUGGGAUAACUUCAGGAAACUGGGGCUAAUACCGGAUAUGAGCUCCUGCUGCAUGGUGGGGGUUGGAAAGUUUCGGCGGUUGGGUAUGGACUCGCGGCUUAUCAGCUUGUUUGUGUGGUAGUGGCUUACCAAGGCUUUGACGGGUAGCCGGCCUGAGAGGGUGACCGGCCACACUGGGACUGAGAUACGGCACAGACUGCUACGGGAGGCAGAAGUGGGGAAUCUUGCCCAAUGGGCGGAAGCCUGAUGAAGCAACGCCGCGUGCGGGAUGACGGCCUUCGGGUUGUAAACCGCUUUCGCCUGUGACGAAGCGUGAGUGACGGUAAUGGGUAAAGAAGCACCGGCUAACUACGUG